UUGGUGUCUAAGGCAAGUUAAUGAGACAUGGUUAUUUAAUUGGUUCGUUAGCUAAUCUGGCCAAUUUAUUGGUGUCUUAAGAAGGUAAUGGGGAGAUCCCUAUCGAUCUCCACUUACCUGGCUAAUUUGAAAGAUUGGGUCUUGAAUUAGGUUGCUUAGCGAUCUGGUUUAGCCCAUACCAGUUAGAUCGAUCAUAUGAUAACUGAUU
This 208-nucleotide long non-coding RNA is filed under the name Elaeis guineensis (African oil palm). RNAcentral describes it as "long non-coding RNA (EGUI_LNC034197)". The record is from RNAcentral. Lineage: Eukaryota; Viridiplantae; Streptophyta; Magnoliopsida; Arecales; Arecaceae.